Molecule: long non-coding RNA, 292 nt
Organism: Hevea brasiliensis (rubber tree)
Lineage: Eukaryota; Viridiplantae; Streptophyta; Magnoliopsida; Malpighiales; Euphorbiaceae
Exons: 2
Source: RefSeq, a predicted model, not a curated record
CAAACACAACAGAGACUGAAAGUAUAGUGUCCUCUAGCCCUGAAAGCCUGACAAGUUCGAGUGAAGGAGAAUCUAUAGCUUGUUCCCCUGAAGCUAAUCGUCCCUCAGGCCAGAUAGAACACCCAGAGAUUGACCACAGAAUGCCCUGGGACCCCUAGCAUAGAUGCUGAUGGGAGACAAGGGCUGACAACUGCUGAUCACCAGACGCAACUGCAUAGGACCCCACGUUUUUUAGCUGUAAAUCUCUAAAAUGAGUGAGAAUUGGUGGAGUUGUUAAAGUAUUUCCAUUUCA